GGGGUAUUAGUUAAAAAAUAACAUUUAAUUUGCAAUUAAAAAUUAUCCUUAAAGAUUUACCUCA
RNAcentral lists this transfer RNA (64 nucleotides) under Angerianus maurus. Its description in RNAcentral is "tRNA-Ala". The record is from RNAcentral. Lineage: Eukaryota; Metazoa; Arthropoda; Insecta; Hemiptera; Miridae.